Molecule: ribosomal RNA, 422 nt
Filed under: uncultured bacterium
Lineage: Bacteria
Description: bacterial SSU rRNA
Rfam family: Bacterial small subunit ribosomal RNA
Source: RNAcentral
UAAGGAAUAUUGGACAAUGGAGGCAACUCUGAUCCAGCCAUGCCGCGUGAAGGAAUAAGGCCCUAUGGGUUGUAAACUUCUUUUAGACGGGACAAAACCCCUUUACGUGUAAAGGGUUGAUGGUACUGUCAGAAUAAGCAUCGGCUAACUUCGUGCCAGCAGCCGCGGUAAUACGAAGGAUGCAAGCGUUAUCCGGAAUUAUUGGGUUUAAAGGGUGCGUAGGCGGACUAAUAAGUCAGUGGUGAAAGCCUGCAGCUUAACUGCAGAAUUGCCAUUGAUACUGUUAGGCUUAAGUACAGUUGAGGUAGGCGGAAUGUGUCAUGUAGCGGUGAAAUGCUUAGAUAUGACACAGAACACCGAUUGCGAAGGCAGCUUGCUAAGCUGUAACUGACGCUGAGGCACGAAAGCGUGGGGAGCAAACA